CCUACGGGAGGCAGCAGUGAGGAAUAUUGGACAAUGGGCGAAGGCCUGAUCCAGCCAUGCCGCGUGCAGGAAGACUGCCCUAUGGGUUGUAAACUGCUUUUAUAUAGGAAGAACCCCCCGAACGCGUUCGGGGCUGACGGUACUAUAAGAAUAAGCACCGGCUAACUCCGUGCCAGCAGCCGCGGUAAUACGGAGGGUGCAAGCGUUAUCCGGAAUCAUUGGGUUUAAAGGGUCCGUAGGUGGGCGUUUAAGUCAGAGGUGAAAUCCCGCGGCUCAACCGUGGAACUGCCUUUGAUACUGAAUGCCUUGAGUCGUUGUGAAGCGGUUAGAACAUGUGGUGUAGCGGUGAAAUGCAUAGAUAUCACAUAGAAUACCGAUUGCGAAGGCAGAUCGCUAACAACGCACUGACACUGAUGGACGAAAGCGUGGGGAGCGAACGG
RNAcentral lists this ribosomal RNA (440 nucleotides) under uncultured bacterium. Its description in RNAcentral is "bacterial SSU rRNA". It matches the Rfam family "Bacterial small subunit ribosomal RNA", at positions 338 to 775 of the family's 1533-position model. The record is from RNAcentral.